Bradysia coprophila is the source of this 155-nucleotide long non-coding RNA. The record is from RefSeq and is a predicted model, not a curated record. Lineage: Eukaryota; Metazoa; Arthropoda; Insecta; Diptera; Sciaridae.
AAGGAACUGUCACUACCGCAUGAAUGUUCCUUCUCGGCAUCAUAAAUCAAUGGCUUCGAUGUCAUUUUGACAAUUGCCAUUUCAAUAGAAAUGUAUGUUGGCCGAAUGAACUGGUUUUGUAGAAUAAGUUUUGUGCAUUGAAUAACAAAAGCAAC